CAGAGCCGUCACGUGAUAGUAGCUGAUCAUGGACGAUAAAAAAAAAUCCCAAGACAAAAGUUUAGAUCACUCGGUCUUGACCCACUGUAUUUACGCCGAUUGCUUGGGCAAUCAUUUCGUUGAUCCCCUUGAUUAUUUUGUGAGUGAAUAUGACUUUCAUCUCUUUGUGGACUUCACGUGAAUAUUUAGCCAAAUGGACACUAGGACAUUUCUUUCAUGUUGCCUUGACAUGCUGGAUGGAAGUGCAAAAUCUCCCUUGGCCAUAUACGUAUCAUUGGGAUCUACCUCUUUUUGUCUGAGACAACUACUGUAUGCUUAAAGUAUUCUUUUCUAAGGUGUGCUAAACCAUCAAGUAAUGUUAUUCUUUGUCUACCCCAAGGAUAUUGUAAAAUAAGAUUUUCAAUCAUAAUCAAGUCUAGUCACACCAUGGAUAUUUUUGGCAUGAUUUACGGUCAAGCCAUGGUUUCCAGGAAGUUCUGGCCAUUCUGUCCGAAAGUGUUACAUUCCUGACAUGUCCAGCUGUCUUAGAAGCAAUGUGAACAAAGCCAAAAUCAUAUCCCCAGGUAGUGUUUGUAGGUUCAAACCUUGGUGUCAGGAUGUAAACUUUGAUGUCGGGGAGACGUGGAGUAGGUCCUUGGUUCCAUUCUCUUCCCUGAUCUUACGCCAAAAGAAGACGGGGGUUUGAACCUUCAACACUUAGGGAGAAGAUUUUUGACUUGUUUGCGCUGCCUCUUAGAAUGCUAGGCUACACUAGUUCCUUUUGCUGAUCUGUCUUUGCAAGCUGAAGGAAAUUUGUUUUGAAAACGCUCAUUUCAAAAUAUAUAGGAUAUACUAUAAUACUUCCAAAUGUUAGUUUCUUUUUCAAGGAAUUAGUACAUUUAAAGUCAAGUUAAGAACAUUGUAAUGCCGUAGUCGCUCAAUUGAACAAAGAUUUGACUUAUAAACUGAUUUUUAGUUAUCGGAUAUUUCGAAAAUUUAUUUCUAAAAUCAUUUUUUGAAUGGGGCACCCCAGCAUGGUUUCGUGAGUGCAUAUAUUGAGAUGCGAUUUGUACCCAGUUGCACCUACUGAGAGUAUCAGAUAGUUUCGUGAACGCACAUUUUGAAAUGCGACUGGGUAAAAUUUAGUACUAUCGCAUUUCAAAAUUUGCGUUCACAAAACCACGUGGGGGUACCCCAUUGGAUUCGUUUUGGGAAAAAAUUGAAACAAUUUUGCCCAUCCAGAUUUACUUACUUUCGGAUUGUCUGCUGAUUGUUACUCUUUCCCCCUGGAGCAUGAAAAUAGCAAAUAUGGGAUGUUAUUUCUUUCUAGCAUGUUUUGUGGCAUAUUCUGGUUUGAAUCUGGCAUGCUUGGAGCCCAGAGACAUGGCAGCACUGUUCUCAAGUGCUCUUGAGUUAAAUUAUAAGGCAUUAACAACUAGUACUAAUACUUCUUCUUCUUUAACAUUUUUGUGAGACAUCUCUAAAGCAAUUUUAAGGCCUUCUUGCGGAUUUUCUUAAUACUGCUGGGAAUGGGGUCCCCAGGAGAUCUAGAAGAAAAAUAUAUUGAUCUUAUUUAGCUUUAAAUUGAUUUAAUAUCUAUUCCACCAAUGAAUUAGAGUUGUUGGAAAUGACUCACCCUUGAAUGUAGUGUUAAUGAGGAAUUUUGGAAUUUUGUCCAAGUCUGACAACAGACUGCCACAGGAUCUAAGUGUGGAAUUUUGAGUAAAACAUAGUGCCGCAACCAUGAUAUUGAGCAUUUUGAGGAAGAAAAACAUUGCAGCCAAGUUGUACCGGACAUAGGCGGAAUUGGUCAUUUGAUUCAGUUUCCCAGCUUGUUGAAGCAAAUUCUUAUAUUGAACCAAGAGUUUAGCACAGUCACAGAACUGCACAAAAAAUGUCAUAUUUUUGAGUUUUGUAGCACAACUCACUCAAUAGUUGAAAAUUCAAUUGUAUUCAAGAGUUAGUGCAAGCACAGAUUGGUUUAAAUGUUUGUCUUAUUUCUCCCUCCUCAAAAUGCUGGAAAUCAUUGUGUUGCCGCACUACCCUCUUCUUGAAUUUCGUUUGCUUCAAAUGCCCUAUUCAAUUAAAACGCACGUUUAGCCUCUGCGGUCACUACAAUUGGCCCUAAAACCUGGGUUGAGACAAAACUCACGGAUGCAAAUGAAAACGUACCAUAUCAGAUACCUUUCGUACCUUCUUUGAAUACUGUACAUACAGUCCUGAUGUCUUUAAUCUAUCCCAAUACUUUGAUUCCCUUAAUGUUCCUGGUAAAACGUCUUUGGACCUGCUCGACUUUUUGCAAACCUGAUUGGAGCCCAAACAAGGGAAGCAUAUUCAAGAUACAGCUGAACAACCGACUUGUUUCGAGUUGGCAUUUGUUAUGUUCCUAAGUACACACCCCUAAUCCAAUAUACAUGGAGGGUUGUAUCUUCACGUCCAUUCAAUUCAAGAUCAAGAUUAGGAGAGAAAAAGGCAGAGACAGAGAGAGAGAGAGAAAGAGAGAAAGAGAGAGCAGGACAGCUGCAUAUGCGCAUGUGCAUGCAAUACUAGUCCACACCAGCAUUGUGAAACUAUCGAUAGAUCCAACCACACGUUAGAAAAGCUUGAGCCACCCUUUUAACUGAAAAUGAUCAUUGAAUUCUCCAUUAUUUUGGAGGACUACGUCUAAAUCCUUUACAGGCGAGACCCGCUCAAUAUCUUUAACUUCGCCAUAUACUAGUGGAAAUUUAGUGACUUCAACUCAAAGGACAACGCCAUUGAACUUUUCAUUGAUAAAUGAUGAACGAGCUUCUUUUUUUUUGCUAUUUUUAUGAUGGUCUAAUUUUAGCAUUUCUUUCCGAGCCCUGGUUACAUGGAGCCCUGAUCACUUGGCGUGAACCUUUUCUAACCUCAAGCACUUAUAUUCCCGUGGGAUGUUGAAGCGCGCUUUCCUGGCUGGCACUUAGAACCAGCGACCUCGGUUACGUUCAAGAGCCAGUUCGAUUGAUCGACGAAACAACCUUCAUCAUCUUCGCCAUCUGAAAGAGCGCACAAAGUGCGGCUUAUUCCAUGGAGGAAAAGGAUAUAUACGCGUACAUGCAUUACAUACAGUAUAAACUAGCACACUCUAUGACGGUAA
Molecule: long non-coding RNA, 3097 nt
Organism: Tigriopus californicus
Lineage: Eukaryota; Metazoa; Arthropoda; Copepoda; Harpacticoida; Harpacticidae
Exons: 2
Source: RefSeq, a predicted model, not a curated record